GGGCAGGUGGCAGAGCGGUUGAAUGCGCUGCUCUCGAAAAGCAGUAUGGGUGUGAGCCCAUCGGGGGUUCGAAUCCCCCUCUGCCCGCCA
Molecule: transfer RNA, 90 nt
Filed under: Alphaproteobacteria bacterium CG1_02_46_17
Lineage: Bacteria; Pseudomonadati; Pseudomonadota; Alphaproteobacteria
Description: tRNA-Ser
Rfam family: tRNA
About the family: Transfer RNA (tRNA) molecules are approximately 80 nucleotides in length. Their secondary structure includes four short double-helical elements and three loops (D, anti-codon, and T loops).
Source: RNAcentral